CACCACGGGAAAUGUAAAAAGGAACCAGAGUUUGUCCUUGUCCUUAAAGAAGCUUUCCACCCUGAGUCCGGGAGCCAGAUAUGUAAACAAACCAUGAGGUGUGAAUCAAGAGUGAAGUUUGUCCUGUUUACACUGUAGUUUGUCGAGGGUUACAAUUCAGUGAAAUUCAACACGAACAUUUGUCCUUUGAAGCAGCUGGUUCCUUUGAAGCAGCUAAAAUGUUCACCUCCGUUUGUUUCUCGCUGGAUGACUAAUUGUGAAGAUGGUUUGAUAUGCUUUGCUGCAAAGAGAACCUGGCUGUCUUUUGGCUGGUACUCUCUUCCAGCUAAAAAUGGGAAACUGAAGACAGAAAGCCACAGAGGAACACAGGAUAGGGCUCCAGGGUGACACCUGGGUCCUCUUUGGGAUACUCCGUCCCCGCUGCAAGUCUCUACCUCCGGGCACCCCGACUGGACGUUUUGGAAGGAAAAGCACCGCCAAGGACAAGAGAACAAGAACCCGGGUUGACGACAACGUGCCGAGGAAAAUUUGCAAGGGGUCAGCUCCUCGAAACCUCCCGGCAGAGAAAUGGGAAAUCACGGAUCAUGAGAAAUGGGAACUUCUGACAGAGAGCCCUCCCUUACCAUUCAAAAGGCCGAGGUGUUCCAAAAAACACCCUCCCACUCCUCAUCAGAGAGCUGAAGCCCGGGUCCUUGUCUAACGAAUUUCGGAGAUGACGGUCAACAGGUCUGGGGAUGACUUAACCAUGUUUAUGACAGGCAGACUCCUGGGUUGAGGCUCGGGACAAACCAACCUUUCACAUGAGUCCUUCAAAACAGACAGUGUUCUGUUUGAAUUUCUGAACCCCAUUCUAGGACAAACAUGCUUGGCAUCUAGUGCCAGAGACUUUUCUUCUUGGCCAACGGCUCAGCGGCCACCAUGGCUAUUACACCUUAGGUCCCUGCAGUCUCCUCUCUUCCCCUGCCCCUCAUCCCCUUUUCCCUGAGCUAGUCGCUGUGCCC
This 1001-nucleotide long non-coding RNA is filed under the name Zalophus californianus (California sea lion). Its description in RNAcentral is "lncRNA (ENSZCAG00015010917.1)". The record is from RNAcentral. Lineage: Eukaryota; Metazoa; Chordata; Mammalia; Carnivora; Otariidae.